Molecule: transfer RNA, 79 nt
Filed under: Trametopsis cervina
Lineage: Eukaryota; Fungi; Basidiomycota; Agaricomycetes; Polyporales; Irpicaceae
Description: tRNA-Gln
Rfam family: tRNA
About the family: Transfer RNA (tRNA) molecules are approximately 80 nucleotides in length. Their secondary structure includes four short double-helical elements and three loops (D, anti-codon, and T loops).
Source: RNAcentral
GGCGCUAUAGUGUAGUGGUUAUCACUUGGGAUUCUGAUUACACCUUCCCAAAACCCAGGUUCGAGCCCUGGUAGCGCCU